AUGUCGAUGAGUUACGAUGGGUCUCAAAGUGAGGAUCGGCAAAGUGAGGAGGUUCAGUCAGCAUACAAAAAGUUCAGUGCAGGGGAUGAGGACGCGAUAAGGGGUUUUGUAAAUUUGGAUGAAACUGAAGAGCAAAAUGAAGAAAAUGAGUGGAGUUGGGUGCCCCAAGAGGAGGAUCCUCUUGCUGAAUCAGCUUCUUCGCUUGAGAAAGCACAAGAAGUUCUUGAAAAAUUCUUCAAGAAAAAUGAAGAUCUUGAAAGUGAGAUGCUGAAAUUGUCAGAACUUGGCAAGGGGUUUGUGGCUGAGGAUUCACAUGAUGGCAACAUAGGUUUGCCUUAUAUAGAGGCUGAUGUACUGGGGAUGAAUCAAAAGAUGGAAUGUCUUGAACUGAAACUGAAAGAAGCGUCAGAUACUAUCACAGAGAAGGAUUCAAGAUUAUCCGAGCUCCAGUUACUUAUCAACAGUGCACAUACACCAACGCUGCAGACGGAGCCCGUCAACAUUGAUGAGUUGGAGGCCGAGCUUGAGAGCCACCUUCAGGACAAAAUCGAAGCCGAGAUUCAGUGUCUGGUCAUGGUGAAAGCGAGACAAAACUGGCAAGCCCGGGCCGAGGACCAGAUCGCGUUGGACGAGCACAGGCUCUCCACCGGGGACGACAUGAGAAUGUUGCUCAAGCUGCAAGACACGGAGAAGAAGAUCGUGAUGCUGAAGGAACAGGUGGACAGACUAGAGGCCCACGAGAAGGAGCUGUCGGUGACGACGGAGGUCCUGAGGAUGCAAAGCAAGACCUUCAAGAUCGGCCUCUUCGGUCUCCUCCAGCUGAUCAUGCUGUGCCUUUCCCUCAAGAUGUUCUUCGCCCAGGACUCUGCCCGCUUCGACGAUCUCGUACCGACAUGA
Molecule: ribosomal RNA, 897 nt
Filed under: Triticum aestivum (bread wheat)
Lineage: Eukaryota; Viridiplantae; Streptophyta; Magnoliopsida; Poales; Poaceae
Description: partial small subunit ribosomal RNA
Source: RNAcentral